This 813-nucleotide long non-coding RNA is filed under the name Homo sapiens (human). Its description in RNAcentral is "non-protein coding lnc-A1BG-2:1". The record is from RNAcentral. Lineage: Eukaryota; Metazoa; Chordata; Mammalia; Primates; Hominidae.
UCCGUCUACUCACGUCCCCUAGUCAGCCUCUCACUCUCUACCCGCUGGGCGGUACCCCGCAUCUCGCUCUGGCCGCCCCAGAGGUUCGCGGCUUCUGGACCUGCUGUGCCCCUCUCCAGCCUGGAUCAGGACGGAGAACACCCCCGAAACCCACCUCACCAGCACAGCCGGCGGACCCUUCCGGAGGUGGCCGCAGAGACUAGCCAACUUGCGCGCCCGCCGACCCGGACCACAGCUCCCAGCACACCUCAAGGGCCCACGCCCGCCAGGACUACAAUUCCCGGCGUCCUCCGGAAGCUCAAGUGUACCCAGGCGCGGUGCCUGCUGGGAAUUGUAGUUGACGUUGGUCAGCACGGAGGCCACAGGAUCCCAGCCCGGCCUUUGUGGGACUGAGGUGGCGCUGAGUGGGAGAGCAGCAGGCGAUGCGCGAAAGGCGGGACUUGGAGGUUCUGGAUGUUCCUGUGGAUAACCUCAAGGAGCACGGGACCUGGGACAUGACUGCCCCCAGCAUUCCUUCUGGCGGCAGACAGAGUUUGUCAGUUCGCCAACAUCCUGCUUUCAUGAGAACAGUUUGCUGUUUGCUCACAGAGCCUCCAGUGGUAUACUGAGUUGGUCACGACCCUCAUUCCUUCGGCCUCCAACAUCUCCCCUUUUGUUUUUGCAUUAAUUGAAUAAAGGUAAUUUCAGGCUGUGCAGCUUUCAAUUGCCGGUUGGUGGUUCACCCGAUCCUAUAGACUAUGAGCAAAAAAACAGAGACAUAACAACAUUAUUCUUGUAAUUAUUAUAAAAGAGACAUUGAAGUUAUGUUUAAGG